Molecule: long non-coding RNA, 596 nt
Filed under: Phoenix dactylifera (date palm)
Lineage: Eukaryota; Viridiplantae; Streptophyta; Magnoliopsida; Arecales; Arecaceae
Description: long non-coding RNA (PDAC_LNC000934)
Source: RNAcentral
UAGCCAAGAGGCACUAUAAUGAGCUCAAAGAUGCUACUGAUCGAAUGCAACUGAGCUGGCCUUGCUAGUGGCCGAGAAUGACUAGCUGGCCCUGCCAGUGGCCGAAUGGACUUCGCAGUAGCAUCCGAGAGAAUGGACCACGGCAUGCCGGGGGCACGGUUUCAUAUGCAUACUUUAUGAAAAUGAUAUUUGAAGCAUGAUCAUGAGGCUCAUUUCAGAGCCUGGGUAUAUGAGGCGGGUGUUUCCAAAUCCUGCAGAUGCAUUUUUGGGGAGAAGCAAAAUCGGUGAGGGGUGAAGGACGCUUGCGUGAAGCCCCGGAACCGGCCAACGUCUGGCAGGGGAGCCCCGUGUUUUUUCCCUCAUGUGGGCCCGAUAGUCACGUGCCCUGCGCAGGCGGACCGUGACAUUUAUGAACGUGCCUGGCCAAAGCAUACAUUGUUUUACAACGGGUUUUUGAAUAUAUCCUUAUGAAAUGUUGUAUUUUGCUAUAACCGCUAUCUCCUUUAAAUGAUGCUAAUCGCAUGAAUUCUUAUGUUUUAUGAAAAUUCUGUUUGACUGAAAAUACUGUUUUGUUUUCCAAGCAUACAUAUUUUGCC